RNAcentral lists this small RNA (34 nucleotides) under Arabidopsis thaliana (thale cress). RNAcentral describes it as "ATSL178810". The record is from RNAcentral. Lineage: Eukaryota; Viridiplantae; Streptophyta; Magnoliopsida; Brassicales; Brassicaceae.
AUGUCUUCUUCUUCCUCUUCUUCUCCUUGUUAAU